Long non-coding RNA from Hemiscyllium ocellatum (epaulette shark), 532 nucleotides. RefSeq lists it as uncharacterized. Lineage: Eukaryota; Metazoa; Chordata; Chondrichthyes; Orectolobiformes; Hemiscylliidae. The transcript is spliced from 3 exons. The record is from RefSeq and is a predicted model, not a curated record.
AGUAAGAGUAAAGCAGGUAGCGGACAGGAUCAGGUAAGACGAACAGCCAGCCAUAUUGGAAAGAGCCAAGCGUAGGUGACUUAUGCAGGUGAUUGAGUGGACCUCAAAUCCUAGGCUCUUGGAUUUCUUCAACCAGAAAAAAGCUUUAGAAGACCGAAAAUGCCGAAACCGUAUCCUUGCUACAGAAGGGCAACCAGAACUGGACACAUUACUCCAGAAGAGACUCCCCAGCGUCAUGUACAACCUCAAUAUAGCAUCUGAACUCCGCACACAAUGGCUUGAGCAAUGAAGGCUAGCAUGCUAAAUGCCGCCUUGACCACCCUGUCUAUCUGUGACACAAAUUUCAAAGAACUGAGUUUGUGAACUCUGAGGUUUCUGCUCUGCAAUGCUCUCCAAGGCCCUUCCAUUAACUGUAAGUCCUCCCCUUGUUUGUUUUUUGUACCAAAAUACCUUGCAUUCCAUCUGCUGCCACUCACCCCAUUGAGCCAAUUGAUCUCUUUGUAAACUUGGAUAAGCUUCUUUUACCAUCCAC